Molecule: long non-coding RNA, 1462 nt
Filed under: Gadus morhua (Atlantic cod)
Lineage: Eukaryota; Metazoa; Chordata; Actinopteri; Gadiformes; Gadidae
Description: lncRNA (ENSGMOG00000032049.1)
Source: RNAcentral
CUGCUGUAGGGUCCCCGCAUUCAUCAAGUUGUCUGCAGUGUUCUUUUCAUUCAACAUGGACUGAAAAGAACGAGGCCUGUUUUAGGCUUGAGAGACCGGAGUGCCGGGGAUUCAUUCACCCACGUUGGCGAAUACGGCUUGGAGUAUGUAAUAUCAUGGGUCGAUGGCUGUGUUAUUUUGAAUGUUAAAGAUUGUGCUACAGAGUGGCGGUUGAACGUUCACGAAUGGAAUUUUUUCUUGGAGAAUUUAUGCCCCAUGCUAGACGGCGUCCGGGGUACAUGGCAGGCGGGAACCCAUGUAUUCCAAUGGACCUUUCAGUAUGAAUCGACGAUUCAUCGCAUGGAUGCAAACUAUCAUACGAAGAGACCACAGGAGUUCAUUUUUUUCAGACGCUGUGUUGAUACAGACGAGCUACCACAGUGCUAUGAUAUGCAUUGCGUCGGUAGCUCUCCUCUACGCACCAGUGUUUUAGAAGCUGCUGAUUAUUUUGAUAAUGUCUUUUUCAUGCAGUGGGCUGAUUUGUCUGCACUACGUGGAAUUUUUGCGGAGAUUGAUUCUAUGGCUAAGACGAAUGAAGAACCAUGGAGCACAGCUGAUGAUGAAUGCCGAAUGUGCCUGUUUGAGUCGUCUGGGUUUGAUGAGGGGGUACAUGCACAGGUCAAUGAUGAACAUGUGCAAGGUGGGGGUGUGGCUAUGGAGACUGCUGAUUUAAAGGCUGUACAACCCGGACCCCACUGGCUUCAAGAGUAUGCCAUCUAUCUGACCGGAAUUUGACCUUCCUACACGUCGGAGAGGACAGUGAGCUGGAGGUGGACACUGCUAUGAGAGACGACGGAUGGCCUGUAUCAAUACAGAUCCGUUUAAACCCUGCAUCGCUGGCUGUUCUGCGAUUUACCACGGGGCUCUGUGUGGUGGCCAUCAUCAACCAUCAGAAGCAAGCGGACUGCUGGGGAUGCCAGUGUGAUUGCCCAAGUCAACGACGCCAUUCAUGCCUGCAGGGAGCGACACAUCAUCACUACGAAUCCCACUACCAUGACAUUUGUGUCAUCCUGGACAGACACCCCUUCCUGUUACUUUUAGAAACUGUUCUAAAGAAGACUACAGGGUUGACUGUGUCCCCCGGAAAAAUCUAUGGUGUGGUCGAAUCUUAUCUAUGUGAUUUAAUAUGCAAUACCUAUAAUACUGAAAAACUGGAUUUAAUGACCACCGAAGGGGUGUCCGAUGAACAUCUGCUUCUGAUACAUGAAGCCAUACAAAUGUGGCGUCCUACAUUGUCAUUAGGCAAACCAAAGCCUGCUGGUGGGUGGCGUUUAUAAUGGGGGUGUUGUUUUCUUAUGCGUAUGAUGCGGAUAGCAAGUAUGUAUCAGAUAGACUAUCCGUUUUGAUGUAUGCUGCCAUAGAAAAUGAUACAUAUGUCCAGCAUAAUGCUUAUAUCAAAUGCACGUAUAAGGGUUGGAAUGAU